CAUAUAUAUAAGUGCCUGUGUUGAUACUGACAAGAGCAUUUUACGUGGCAGUAGCUCUCAUCGAAUUCCGCAGACGGACAACCAUGAAGCGGAGACUGCUUGUUUACAGUUUCCUUGUGCUUGGGCUCCUUAUCAGUAGAACUUCAGGCGCUUCUGAGUGUUCCACAGAGUGCCCAAGUGGACAACAGUUUUCCUGCUUCAGUUUCGAGAGAACUUGCUCGUGUACUUGCUUGGAAACCUCCAACUCCUGCGAAUAUCUUAAGGGCAACACUUGUCCCGAAGGCUAUUUCCGCAGGUGCGUCAGUGACUCUCACGGAUGUACUUGCAGAUGCGAUCUAUAAUAAGUACAUUGGUCCAGAUGUCCGGCGGCCGUCUACAUGGUGUCGAUGCUUGAUGAGACAAGACUCUUCGACGACCUAACUUAGCAGAGAAACAAUGAAAAUAAAUCGUGCAUUGUUGUCCGUUC
This is a non-coding RNA of Dermacentor albipictus, 466 nucleotides long. The record is from RefSeq and is a predicted model, not a curated record. Lineage: Eukaryota; Metazoa; Arthropoda; Arachnida; Ixodida; Ixodidae.